GGGAUUGUGGCUCAGAGGUAGAGUGCUUGCCUAGCAGGCAUGAGGCACUAGGUUCAAUCCUCAACACCA
This 69-nucleotide transfer RNA is filed under the name Marmota monax (woodchuck). RNAcentral's name for it is "tRNA.Ala". The stretch from base 1 to 62 matches the Rfam family "tRNA". From Rfam's summary of the family: Transfer RNA (tRNA) molecules are approximately 80 nucleotides in length. Their secondary structure includes four short double-helical elements and three loops (D, anti-codon, and T loops). The record is from RNAcentral. Lineage: Eukaryota; Metazoa; Chordata; Mammalia; Rodentia; Sciuridae.